Molecule: long non-coding RNA, 832 nt
Organism: Populus nigra (black poplar)
Lineage: Eukaryota; Viridiplantae; Streptophyta; Magnoliopsida; Malpighiales; Salicaceae
Exons: 2
Source: RefSeq, a predicted model, not a curated record
AGACAGGGGGAGAGAGGAAUCAGUUUCAAGGAAAGGGUUUUUUAUUUUUAAUUUCAAUUUAAACUUCUCUAAAUGUUUUUUUUUUCUUUCAUUUAUAAUAUCUACAAAAGCUUUCCUAGAUAAUGAACAAGCUAGUUUCGCUGUAAACAACCAUGCAACUACUACCAGCUAGUGAUAAAUGCAUGUAACAGCAAGAAAAACCCAUCUCCUUCCUUGAUGUUAAGUGGCAUUUUUCAUGAUUGCUCAGGUGAAAAUGUACUUCGCUAAUGCUGGAGCAUGGAUAACCACAGAAGGGAAGCCAAAAUACUGAAAAGCAGAAAGGAGUAAGGGAAUUGAGGACUCAAAAUCAUGGGAUCAGAUGGCAGUAGCCUGACAUAAUCUUUUGGAUCCCUGAGAACAUACUGCCAAUAUAUGAAGAGAGGAGCAAGCUAGAGGUGCACCGCUGGAUAAUUUCGUGCAGUUUUGGUACGUUUGAGACCUUUGGAAACAGAGUUUCGGGCUUUUGCUCGCGAAUAACAUUCCAAAAGGGUCUAGCUGGCUACUUGAGACCGUACCAUGAUAUAUCUGUAUUUGAUCACAAUUGUUGUUUGGUUGCUGGAUCUCUUCUUCAGGUGCUGCUGGUUUUCUGGUGGAUUUGCCCAGUUGGCAAUUCAUCUCCUCAUGCCCUGUCUUGUUAAAAAUUUUGCUAGUGUUUUACGUUCUUCAUUUUUUCCCAUUAAUUUUCAAGAUAUUUAAUUUAACCCGGACCAUGCAUAUUCUAGAGUCCUCACAGAGAAAAGAAAGAAUAUGUUUGUUUUUUGAAAAGUAAUUAUUUUUGUUUUUAAUUUAUUAA